CUACGCAAUUGCACCAAAACCCUCUCUGUGCUGUGGAGGUAAUAUAUAGCUGUCAACAUAUAUACGUCCAAAGCACUGAGGGGGUUUUACUCACUCAUCAUCGAG
Molecule: microRNA precursor, 105 nt
Filed under: Ixodes scapularis (black-legged tick)
Lineage: Eukaryota; Metazoa; Arthropoda; Arachnida; Ixodida; Ixodidae
Description: microRNA isc-mir-5308 precursor
Source: miRBase by way of RNAcentral